GAAGAGAAAAAGUGUGGAAAAGAAAUCCUCAUGCAGUAGACUUGUGCAAAAGUCCUUGUUGUCCGAUGAUAUAAAUAAAGAGAUCCUCAGUUGCUUUUAAUUUCAUACUUUUAUCUCCUCUUCAUUUCGUACAUCCUUUGGUCUUUCAGUAAUUUGCUAAAAGGUAAGGAAAGAAUAGGCCCAGAGAGUCAGAUGUGAAGCUCUGGGGCGGAGAGAGUCCUCCAAUGGAAAGUAGAGUUCAACAGGCGGACCUCCUCUUUAACUCAUUUCUUUCAUAUCCCAUAUAACACAAAAUGUAAUGAAGAUGUAUCAAAAAUGUAUCAAAUAACUCUGUCAUUUUCUUUCUUCUCAUUCCCCGUCUUCUCCCACCUUACAGUUUCUGCUUUGUCUCAUUUUCCACCUCUUUAGUUUGAGCUUCUUUUCUUUCUCGGCCUCUUGUCAAAUAGGACAUCUUCUAAUAUAUUUCAUCUGAAACAGGGAUUUGGAAAGGCAAUGCAAAGACAAGGCUUGAGCGUCCAAGGUGUCGAAAAGCAGAAGAGGAACAUGUACGCUGAUGGAUAACAGUUGGAUUGGGAAUAACAAGAAAAGAGUAAGUGGCUGGCAGGCUAAAAGGAAGAGGAAAAAUUAGAAAGAGCUGGAGGGAAGACUGCCCUGUCUCUGUGGGACAAAAACAAAAGGCAGUUUCAUUCAAGUGUGAUUUCAAAAUCGUUUAUUUAAAGCUGUCUCCAGGGUGGUCCCACUCGGACAGCGUUAGAGAGAAAAAAUAUACGUUUGUCUCUGUGUAAAUACAUGAUUCAAUUAGAGAAGUGAAGAGCAAAAUAAAAGUAUAAAAAAUGUAAAAAUAAAAUUAUAUUCUAUUAUUUUUUCAUCGCUCAAAAUAAGAGUCACACUCGCGGAAGCCGGUAUACCCGCCGAAACGCCGUGCAUUUAUCGAGACUUUCAACCCCAGGUAGGCCAAUUAUGGAUCUUCGGAUCCACAUUAUGUCAGCAGCUGUUCUCCACCGUGAACUAUGUUAAAGACAAACACCGUUCACGCCUGACAGAUGACAGUCCUGCGUAAACUGACUUCGUAUAGCCCCGAUUUGCGGACUCUGUGCGCAGAGGUUCAGGAGCAGAAGUCCCAUUGUAAACAAAUCACGGCAGACCCGACGAUGUUUCCAUGAGCAUGCUUUUGAGAACCUCUUUAUUGACCACUUUUCACACACGGUUGCUGUACGCAUACAGCCGGCUGUAGCUUUUCAGCUCACAGUCCGACAUACACCACCAACAACACAACAGCAUAGAUAACGCAGACGUAAAGGCAGCGAGGCGUGAUUGCGGGUGUCGCUCAGGUGCGUCCGCCUCCCCUGCAGCGGCGCUGCAAACCACGUCCCGCCGCACGCAUUAACCAGGUAAAAUACAUAUUUAGGCAGAAUUUUGCAAAUAUCUAUUUUUCAUUUUCAGCAGCAUAGUGCUUUUUUCCAAUUAUUUUUUAAGAGUCAGGUCAAGGCUCCAACAGCGCAAAGGCGAUAUAAGGGUGGCGGCUCACAACAGUUUUUGUUUGCUACAUGGAUCAUUUUAGUUCAGCUGGGUGUCUUUCCUUUUGUUAUAUUUCUUUAAGAGUUCAAAAUGUGUUGAUUACAUAAAUAUAAUUUAAUUUUCUCUGUAGCACUUCAUGGAUUUCAUAAGCAGCACACCUUAGUUGCUCAGGUGGUAGAGCAGGUCAUCCACUGAUCGGAAGGUUGGUGGUUCGAUUCCUGGCUUCCCCUAGUCUAUAUGCCAAAUAUCCUUGGGCAAGAUACUAACCCCAAAUUGCUCUCCGAUGCAUCCGUCGGAGUAUGAAUGUGUGUGAAUGUUAGCUAUGAAGCACUUAGAAAGAUGUGUUUGUGCGAAUGGGUGUGAAUGGGUGAAUGCACAAGUUGUGU
Molecule: long non-coding RNA, 1904 nt
Organism: Oreochromis niloticus (Nile tilapia)
Lineage: Eukaryota; Metazoa; Chordata; Actinopteri; Cichliformes; Cichlidae
Source: Ensembl